AGCUCCAAUAGCGUAUAUUAAAGUUGUUGCAGUUAAAAAGCUCGUAGUUGCAUUUCCGAGGCAAGGGAUUAGUCCGACCUUUGGUGGGUAUUUAAUCCUCUUGCCUCGUCCUUGAGUGGUGCUUCUUGGUAUUAAGUUAUCGAGGAGAUAGCCGCUCAUCGUUUACUGUGAGAAAAUUAGAGUGUUCAAAGCAGGCUUAUGCCGUUGAAUAUAUUAGCAUGGAAUAAUAAGAUAGGACCUCGGUACUAUUUUGUUGGUUUGAGAACCAAGGUAAUGAUGAAUAGGGACAGUUGGGAGUAUUCGUAUUCAGUUGUCAGAGGUGAAAUUCUUAGAUUUACGGAAGACGAACUACUGCGAAAGCAUUUACCAAGGAUGUUUUCA
This 381-nucleotide ribosomal RNA is filed under the name uncultured marine Chaetocerotaceae. RNAcentral describes it as "SSU rRNA". It matches the Rfam family "Eukaryotic small subunit ribosomal RNA", at positions 587 to 972 of the family's 1831-position model. Lineage: Eukaryota; Bacillariophyta; Thalassiosirophyceae; Chaetocerotales; Chaetocerotaceae. The record is from RNAcentral.